RNAcentral lists this transfer RNA (133 nucleotides) under Pollachius pollachius (pollack). RNAcentral describes it as "transfer RNA-Pro". Lineage: Eukaryota; Metazoa; Chordata; Actinopteri; Gadiformes; Gadidae. The record is from RNAcentral.
GAGAACGUGUUUCGACAUUAUGGGGCAGCAUCCGGUAAAGUAAGACGUGCUGAGCGCUAGGGAGGGAUCUAGCCCCCGACCUCCGGCUUACAAGGCCGGCGCUCUAUGCUGAGCUACUAGGGCAGUUUCAUUC